AUUGAACGCUGGCGGCAUGCCUUACACAUGCAAGUCGAACGGCAGCACGGGAGCAAUCCUGGUGGCGAGUGGCGAACGGGUGAGUAAUAUAUCGGAACGUGCCCAGUCGUGGGGGAUAACGUAGCGAAAGCUACACUAAUACCGCAUACGAUCUAUGGAUGAAAGCGGGGGAUCGCAAGACCUCGCGCGAUUGGAGCGGCCGAUAUCAGAUUAGGUAGUUGGUGGGGUAAAAGCCUACCAAGCCUUCGAUCUGUAGCUGGUCUGAGAGGACGACCAGCCACACUGGAACUGAGACACGGUCCAGACUCCUACGGGAGGCAGCAGUGGGGAAUUUUGGACAAUGGGCGCAAGCCUGAUCCAGCAAUGCCGCGUGCAGGAUGAAGGCCUCGGUUGUAAGACACUUUCUAGUAGAUGAGAAGGACAGUAUCUUAGGAAUAAGUACUCGGCUAACUACGUGCCAGCAGCCGUACGG
RNAcentral lists this ribosomal RNA (472 nucleotides) under uncultured bacterium. RNAcentral describes it as "bacterial SSU rRNA". It matches the Rfam family "Bacterial small subunit ribosomal RNA", at positions 30 to 520 of the family's 1533-position model. The record is from RNAcentral.